AUUGAGCGCUGGCGGCAUGCCUUACACAUGCAAGUCGAACGGCAGCACGGGUGCUUGCACCUGGUGGCGAGUGGCGAACGGGUGAGUAAUACAUCGGAACAUGUCCUGUAGUGGGGGAUAGCCCGGCGAAAGCCGGAUUAAUACCGCAUACGAUCUACGGAUGAAAGCGGGGGACCUUCGGGCCUCGCGCUAUAGGGUUGGCCGAUGGCUGAUUAGCUAGUUGGUGGGGUAAAGGCCUACCAAGGCGACGAUCAGUAGCUGGUCUGAGAGGACGACCAGCCACACUGGGACUGAGACACGGCCCAGACUCCUACGGGAGGCAGCAGUGGGGAAUUUUGGACAAUGGGCGAAAGCCUGAUCCAGCAAUGCCGCGUGUGUGAAGAAGGCCUUCGGGUUGUAAAGCACUUUUGUCCGGAAAGAAAUCCUUGGCUCUAAUACAGUCGGGGGAUGACGGUACCGGAAGAAUAAGCACCGGCUAACUACGUG
Molecule: ribosomal RNA, 486 nt
Filed under: uncultured bacterium
Lineage: Bacteria
Description: partial 16S ribosomal RNA
Rfam family: Bacterial small subunit ribosomal RNA
Source: RNAcentral